GGGGCUGAAGUAGGUCCCAAGGGUAUGGCUGUUCGCCAUUUAAAGUGGUACGCGAGCUGGGUUUAGAACGUCGUGAGACAGUUCGGUCCCUAUCUGCCGUGGGCGCUGGAGAAUUGAGGGGGGCUGCUCCUAGUACGAGAGGACCGGAGUGGACGCAUCACUGGUGUUCGGGUUGUCAUGCCAAUGGCACUGCCCGGUAGCUAAAUGCGGAAGAGAUAAGUGCUGAAAGCAUCUAAGCACGAAACUUGCCCCGAGAUGAGUUCUCCCUGAGACUUUAAGUCUCCUGAAGGAACGUUGAAGACGACGACGUUGAUAGGCCGGGUGUGUAAGCGCAGCGAUGCGUUGAGCUAACCGGUACUAAUGAACCGUGAGGCUUAACCUUAC
RNAcentral lists this ribosomal RNA (384 nucleotides) under Klebsiella pneumoniae subsp. pneumoniae KPNIH11. Its description in RNAcentral is "bacterial LSU rRNA". It matches the Rfam family "Bacterial large subunit ribosomal RNA", at positions 2549 to 2925 of the family's 2925-position model. Lineage: Bacteria; Pseudomonadati; Pseudomonadota; Gammaproteobacteria; Enterobacterales; Enterobacteriaceae. The record is from RNAcentral.